UACAGAGGGUGCGAGCGUUAAUCGGAAUUACUGGGCGUAAAGCGCACGUAGGUGGCGACGUAAGUCGGGUGUGAAAGCCCCGGGCUCAACCUGGGAAUUGCAUUCGAGACUGCAUUGCUGGAGUACGGAAGAGGAGGGCGGAAUUCCCGGUGUAGCGGUGAAAUGCGCAGAUAUCAGGAGGAACACCAAUUGCGAAGGCAGCUCGCUGGGACGUUACUGACGCCGAGACGCGAAAGCGUGGGGAGCAAACAGG
RNAcentral lists this ribosomal RNA (253 nucleotides) under uncultured bacterium. Its description in RNAcentral is "partial 16S ribosomal RNA". It matches the Rfam family "Bacterial small subunit ribosomal RNA", at positions 524 to 776 of the family's 1533-position model. The record is from RNAcentral.